This 608-nucleotide long non-coding RNA is filed under the name Pongo abelii (Sumatran orangutan). RNAcentral describes it as "lincRNA". The record is from RNAcentral. Lineage: Eukaryota; Metazoa; Chordata; Mammalia; Primates; Hominidae.
UGACCCAGUCCCCGAGCAGCCCAUUCCUGCCUGGCACCACAGGGAUCCAACGGGCGAGAAACAGAGGGUAAAACUACACAGAGAGAAGGAAAUCUCUAGCUGAACUUUGUAACAAUUCGAACAGCGUGAGAAGUCUCCUGGCCAGACUCGGGGGAGGACACAAAUCUCGUGCACAGUUAAUAUCCAGAGUCACACGUGGAGAGGAAACAUCACAAUGAGACCAUGCAACCAUAUAAUCUGUUCAAGUCCUAGAAGGUGUUGGCAGAACUGCAGGACUGACCUAGGUCAAUGGCUGUGGGUGUCUGCUAACAGAUUUAACUGCCUGCCACCUGAGCACUCAAGCCACCACAGCACUCAAUCAAGACAGGAUUUGGAGUUUCUACAACCAGCAUCACUGAUGGUGACAGAGACACAUUCCUUCACAUAUAACUGGGUUUUCUUUUUUCUGAGGUACCAAGUGUUUGCCACCAACGGUGUAUCUAAGACACAAUGCCUGGCUAGUCUUUUGCUAUCAGAAAGGUGCAGCAUCUCAUACCUGUAAUCCCAGCACUUUGGGAGACAAAGGCGGGUAGAUCACCUGAGGUCAGGAGUUCCAGACCAGCCUGGCC